UAGGGAAUCUUCGGCAAUGGACGAAAGUCUGACCGAGCAACGCCGCGUGAGUGAAGAAGGUUUUCGGAUCGUAAAACUCUGUUGUUAGAGAAGAACAAGGACGUUAGUAACUGAACGUCCCCUGACGGUAUCUAACCAGAAAGCCACGGCUAACUACGUGCCAGCAGCCGCGGUAAUACGUAGGUGGCAAGCGUUGUUCGGAUUUAUUGGGCGUAAAGCGAGCGCAGGCGGUUUCUUAAGUCUGAUGUGAAAGCCCCCGGCUCAACCGGGGAGGGUCAUUGGAAACUGGGGGAGUUGAGUGCAGAAGAGGAGAGUGGAAUUCCAUGUGUAGCGGUGAAAUGCGUAGAUAUAUGGAGGAACACCAGUGGCGAAGGCGGCUCUCUGGUCUGUAACUGACGCUGAGGCUCGAAAGCGUGGGGAGCAAACAGG
Molecule: ribosomal RNA, 429 nt
Filed under: Gemmatimonadota bacterium
Lineage: Bacteria; Pseudomonadati; Gemmatimonadota
Description: Gemmatimonadetes bacterium partial 16S ribosomal RNA
Rfam family: Bacterial small subunit ribosomal RNA
Source: RNAcentral